UCUCAGGAAGUUUGUUCUGGACCCAUCAACUGCAUUCAUUUUCCUUACAGGCCAUUCCGCAGUGCAGGCCACUGGGCCCAGAGGGACUUGUGAGAGUGUGCGUGGCCCAGCACAAACCACUGACACUACUGAAAAUGUUCUGGAUGCCAUUCUGGGGGCAAAGCAGUCGGCGUCUGCACUGCCAAAUUCUCAGAUGUCCCAACAUUCGUAAAUCUUGCUAUAGAAGAGGAGGAGCCUGGAGCCAGAGGCUGCUUGAAGACAAUCCUCUAAAAGACAGUUCAUUUCCAGAAGUGGAGCUUUGGAAAGCAGUCUCCGACUAACUGUGAACCAACCAGUUAACGAAAACCUCAUUUGGAUAUCGAAAAAGGUUUAAAUAACCAACUUAAUUGAACAUAAGUCAGACAAAUAAACCUGAGGCCCACUUAGUUUAGGCCAUACUGUGAUCUACAACCCAGGGGAGCAAAUCAUCACUUGCAUCCUCUAAACGAGUAGUCAUAGGAUAAAUUAGACCCCAGUGUUCACUCAGGGUCCAGGACCAACUUUCUACAACACCAGCUGACAAGACUUUGUUCUCUCCCUCCUCCGGGAUCUGAGAAGUUGAGAUCAUUUGAUGAACUGGAAGGGCUGAGGGACUUGAUUGUAGGGGUGCGGAAAAUGGUCUUUGGAGAAGCCAAACAGCUAAAUAGAAGGCUGAAGAAAGGCUACAGGAGAAAAACCUAAUGACUAUUUGAAGAUUGUGUAAGCUCUUGUUUAAAAUAGAACUUUCAGAUUUGCCUGUUUCAGAAUUUGGCAACAAGCGUCAUGACGAACUCAUCCGGAUUAUAUCUAGGAUGAUUACACUAAUUCACUUAGUUCCCUUCAAUAUCACCAAGGGAAUAGGGGUGGGGAGAAGACCUACAGAGAGCACUGUUUAUGCCAAGUCCCUUUCCCAGUCAAAGGUCAACCACUUCUAGAUGGUGCUUAAAAACAUAUUUUAUUUAAGUUCGCCUCAAAUCUGUUUUGUCUCAAUUGAAUAAAAUCUAAAAUAGCUCACUUAA
Long non-coding RNA from Ornithorhynchus anatinus (platypus), 1037 nucleotides. RefSeq lists it as uncharacterized. Lineage: Eukaryota; Metazoa; Chordata; Mammalia; Monotremata; Ornithorhynchidae. The record is from RefSeq and is a predicted model, not a curated record. The transcript has 4 exons.